This 1082-nucleotide long non-coding RNA is filed under the name Gouania willdenowi (blunt-snouted clingfish). Its description in RNAcentral is "lncRNA (ENSGWIG00000015710.1)". The record is from RNAcentral. Lineage: Eukaryota; Metazoa; Chordata; Actinopteri; Blenniiformes; Gobiesocidae.
GCUAAUUUAAAUGUUUUUACUGCUGAUUUAAAUGUUUUUACUGCUGAUUUAAAUGUUUUUACUACUGAUUUAAAUGUUUUUACUACUGAUUUAAAUGUUUUUACUACUGAUUUAAAUGUUUUUACUGCUAAUUUAAAUGUUUUUACUGCUGAUUUAAAUGUUUUUACUACUGAUUUAAAUGUUUUUACUACUGAUUUAAAUGUUUUUACUACUGAUUUAAAUGUUUUUACUGCUGAUUUAAAUGUUUUUACUACUGAUUUAAAUGUUUUUACUACUGAUUUAAAUGUUUUUACUGCUAAUUUAAAUGUUUUUACUGCUAAUUUAAAUGUUUUUACUGCUGAUUUAAAUGUUUUUACUACUGAUUUAAAUGUUUUUACUACUGAUUUAAAUAUUUUUACUGCUGAUUUUAAAUGUUUUUACUGCUGAUUUUAAAUGUUUUUACUGCUGAUUUUAAAUGUUUUUACUGCUGAUUUUAAAUGUUUUUACUGCUGAUUUUAAAUGUUUUUACUGCCGAUUUUAAAUGUUUUUAUUGCUGAUUUUAAAUGUUUUUAUUGCUGAUUUUAAAUGUCAGGAUCAGGAUGAGAGCUCGGUAUCUCUCACAGAUCAGGGAGGAGUCAGACAGAGACCAGAGGAUUGGUUCCACUUCUUUAGCCCCGCCCACGAAUGCUGCAGCUCAACCAAUUGAAGAAGGUCCUGAUGUUUGGGAGCAGCAGAAGAAACAGGAGGAGAACCGCAGUCUGCUGGAGGAGCUGAGUCACAUAGAGGCGGAGCUUAGGGAGUCGUUACAAUUGGAUGUUGAACGACAGCGAGAGUCGGAAUUCCUUCAACUUCAAGAAAAUAAAGUUUUACAACAAAACCUGAACGACCUCAGUCUGAGCCAGAGGAUAGCUAGGCCGUGGGUGAGCAGCUACUUCAGGAAGAUUCCAAUGCACAUCUACUGUCUGCCCAUUCAGGCUGUCAAUCACAGAAGCAGGAGGCGGGACUUAAAGAAGAACCAAUGAUCUUUGGAUUUCAUUUGAUAACAUGUAUAUUUAAAAACAUAUGGAAAUAAAUCAAUACAUUUCCUUCUUAAGUUGAGACUG